GACGACGCUGGCGGCGUGGAUUAGGCAUGCAAGUCGAACGGUAGGAUACCUUCGGGGUAUCUGAGAGUGGCGAACGGGUGAGUAACACGUAGGUGAUCUACCCUCAAGAUUGGGACAACCCAGGGAAACUUGGGCUAAUACCGGAUGAAAGCAGCAGUGAUGUUGUUUGAAAGGUGGCGUAAGCUGCCGUUUGGGGAUGAGCCUGCGCUCUAUUAGUUAGUUGGCGGGGUAAAGGCCCACCAAGGCGAUGAUAGAUAGGCGGCCUUAACGGGUGGUCGCCCACACUGGGAUUGAGAUACGGCCCAGACUCCUACGGGAGGCAGCAGUCGAGAAUAGUCUACAAUGGCCGAAAGGCUGAUAGUGCGACGCCGCGUGAACGAAGAAGCCCUUCGGGGUGUAAAGUUCUUUUAUAUGUGAGCAGUGCUUUCUAUGUGAACAGCAUGGGGAGAGAGAUAUUAGCAUAUGAAUAAGCAACGGCUAACUCCGUG
Molecule: ribosomal RNA, 488 nt
Filed under: uncultured bacterium
Lineage: Bacteria
Description: bacterial SSU rRNA
Rfam family: Bacterial small subunit ribosomal RNA
Source: RNAcentral